RNAcentral lists this signal recognition particle RNA (287 nucleotides) under Aotus nancymaae (Ma's night monkey). Its description in RNAcentral is "Metazoan signal recognition particle RNA (ENSANAG00000002293.1)". It matches the Rfam family "Metazoan signal recognition particle RNA". From Rfam's summary of the family: The signal recognition particle (SRP) is a universally conserved ribonucleoprotein. It is involved in the co-translational targeting of proteins to membranes. The eukaryotic SRP consists of a 300-nucleotide 7S RNA and six proteins: SRPs 72, 68, 54, 19, 14, and 9. Lineage: Eukaryota; Metazoa; Chordata; Mammalia; Primates; Aotidae. The record is from RNAcentral.
GCCAGGCAUGAGGGCAGGUACCUGUAGUCCCAGGUACUCAGAAGUUUGAGAUGGGAAGAUUGUUUGCACCCAGGAGUUCUGGGCUAUAGUGCACUAUGCCAAUCAAGUGUCCACACUAACUUCAGCAUCGGUAUGGUGUCCUUCCAGGAGCAGGGGACCACCAGAGGAGUGAACCAGCCAAAGUCAAAAAUGGAGAAGGUCAAACCUCUUGUUCUCAUCAGUAAUGGAAUCACCCCUGUGCAUAGCCACUCACUCUAGCCUGGGAAACAUAACAGGACCCUGUCUCA